Molecule: long non-coding RNA, 184 nt
Organism: Telopea speciosissima
Lineage: Eukaryota; Viridiplantae; Streptophyta; Magnoliopsida; Proteales; Proteaceae
Exons: 2
Source: RefSeq, a predicted model, not a curated record
ACUUCAGUUUUCUCUUUCGUAUAGUGUGUUUGGAGCCGAGUAGGAGAAGAACCAAUGAGAAGGAAAUCAAAUUCGAUUUAGGUUAGGGUCUUGGAUUUUUUUAACUUAUUGAUUCCAUGCUUCGCACCUCAAUUAGAACCUGUACAUAAACCAAUAGAAAUGUUAGAAAUAGAAUCAAUUUAUA